UGAAAAAGGCACACCCGACCGAAAGGCGGGGUCGCAAAGUCACCGGUCUACAGGGCGAAGCGUCUGCUUCUCACCAUGAUGUCGGGAUUGCCG
This 93-nucleotide non-coding RNA is filed under the name uncultured Azonexus sp. RNAcentral describes it as "Cyclic di-GMP-I riboswitch". It matches the Rfam family "c-di-GMP-I riboswitch aptamer". Rfam says of the family: GEMM was predicted in a large-scale screen for bacterial structured RNA regulatory elements. Genes associated with GEMM are involved in a diverse array of functions, including chemotaxis regulation, signal transduction, secretion and chitin. Lineage: Bacteria; Pseudomonadati; Pseudomonadota; Betaproteobacteria; Rhodocyclales; Azonexaceae. The record is from RNAcentral.